GAUGAACGCUGGCGGCGUGCUUAACACAUGCAAGUCGAACGGGAAACCUUUUAUUGAAGCUUCGGCAGAUUUAGCUGGUUUCUAGUGGCGGACGGGUGAGUAACGCGUGGGUAACCUGCCUUAUACAGGGGGAUAACAGUCAGAAAUGGCUGCUAAUACCGCAUAAGCGCACAGAGCUGCAUGGCUCAGUGUGAAAAACUCCGGUGGUAUAAGAUGGACCCGCGUUGGAUUAGCUGGUUGGUGGGGUAACGGCCCACCAAGGCGACGAUCCAUAGCCGGCCAGAGAGGGUGAGCGCCCACUUUGGCACUGAGACACGGCCCAGACUCCUACGGGAGGCAGCAGUGGGGAAUAUUGCACAAUGGGGGAAACCCUGAUGCAGCGACGCCGCGUGAAGGAAGAAGUAUCUCGGUAUGUAAACUUCUAUCAGCAGGGAAGAUAAUGACGGUACCUGACUAAGAAGCCCCGGCUAACUACGUG
This 478-nucleotide ribosomal RNA is filed under the name uncultured bacterium. RNAcentral's name for it is "partial 16S ribosomal RNA". It matches the Rfam family "Bacterial small subunit ribosomal RNA", at positions 28 to 507 of the family's 1533-position model. The record is from RNAcentral.